UACGUAGGGGGUGAGCGUUGUCCGGAAUGACUGGGCGUAAAGGGUGCGUAGGCGGCCCGAGAGGUCCUGGGUGAAAGGCCCCGGCUCAACCUGGGAAUGGCAGUGGAUACUGGCAAGCUAGAGUGUGUCAGAGGAUGGCGGAAUUCCCGGUGUAGCGGUGAAAUGCGUAGAGAUCGGGAGGAACAUCAGUGGCGAAGGCGGCCAUCUGGGACAACACUGACGCUGAGGCACGAAAGCGUGGGGAGCAAACAGG
RNAcentral lists this ribosomal RNA (253 nucleotides) under uncultured bacterium. RNAcentral's name for it is "partial 16S ribosomal RNA". It matches the Rfam family "Bacterial small subunit ribosomal RNA", at positions 524 to 776 of the family's 1533-position model. The record is from RNAcentral.